RNAcentral lists this unclassified non-coding RNA (3494 nucleotides) under Hevea brasiliensis (rubber tree). Lineage: Eukaryota; Viridiplantae; Streptophyta; Magnoliopsida; Malpighiales; Euphorbiaceae. The record is from RNAcentral.
GUUUCUCUCUCAAUCUGCAGACUAAGAUCUGUAGCCAGAAUCUGAGUGAGUGAGCAAGUGUGUGCUAUAUAUAUAUAUUUUUUUUCUUAAAAGAUAAGCUGAAAUUUUAAUGUUUUUAAGCCCAUGGUUUUCUCGGAUCCUUCCUCUAUCUUUCUUUCCUGCUUCUUUCCUGGAUUUCCGAUCUAGAUUUCUUCCAGAUUACUUACCAAUUCCGAUACUCAUUUUACUGAGCGAAAAUGCAGUCACUUCGGCUAAAGAAGCCCAAUAUUGCGGCCUGCACUGAUGAUUGCAACUCCAGCCGUAGAUUCAGAGAAGUUCACGUGUGAAUUGGGGUGGAGAUCUUUGAAACAAGCAGCUGGAACACCAAUGAAGAAGUUAUUAGCUGAAGAGAUGUCAAGAGAAGCUGAAUCAAAGACAAGGUCUCCUAGUGUUAUUGCCCGAUUGAUGGGCUUUGAUGGACUGCCAGCUCAGCAGCUGUCUCAUAAACAACAUAAAAAGUCAUCGGAGAACUAUUUACAGAGGAUAGCGCCAACAGAAAAGUCCCAAAGAAGUAGCGCAUCAUGUAGUCGUAGUUCAUCCAGAAAAGGCUCAAAGGAGGAGCAAGAAUUCAAAGAUGUAUUUGAAGUUUUAGACGCAUCAAAAAGAGAGAGUAGGUACUUGUUGCAGGGGACUGCAAACUCAAAGCUAACUGAAGCUGAGAUGACAUUCAUUAAGCAGAAAUUCAUGGAUGUCACAUGUCUUUCAAGUGAUGAAAAACUUAAUGAUUUGAAGGAAUUUCAGGAUGCAAUAGAUGAUCUAGACUCCAACAAAGAUCUUCUCCUGAAAUUUCUUGAGCAGCCGGAUUCAUUGUUUGCAAAGCAUCUACAUGAUCUGCAAGCUGCCCUUCCUCAGUCCCAUUGUCGUCGCAUAUCAGGUAUGAAGUCAUCACAUGCUCCAGAGCAUGAAGGCGGUGGCCUGGGAUGCAAAGUAGAGAGAAAAAUGCCAUGGAAGAAUCAUAGGAAGCACCAAAGUAAUCCUCUUAGCCAUUCUUACCGUAAACAAGCUGCUGAUAAUCCACUCAAGGCAUCAAAACUUCAAUUAGAAGGGAAAGAACAACCUUCUGUUCUUCCUACACGGAUUGUUGUACUGAAACCAAACUUUGGUAAAGUGCAUAAUGCUACCAAAAUUGUUUCAUCAACACGUUCUUCUCAUGAUUUUCUUUCAGAUUGUAAGAGGCACACUGAACUUCCUAGUAUCAAGAAUAGGGAGGCAGAUUUAUUUGGAAAUGAAAAAUUUCCUGAUCAGGUAGCACUACCAAGAUAUAAGUCCAGAGAGUCUAGAGAAAUUGCGAAGGAGAUCACCAGGCAAAUGAAAAAUAGUCUUGGAAGUGGUUCCAUAAAGUUCUCAACCUUGGGAUUUAGAGGAUAUGCUGGGGAUGAGAGUUCAUCAAACAGGUCUGACAAUGAAUCAGCAAAUGACUCAGAUGUGCAGACAGUGAUUUCUAGAAGUUCUAUUGGUUGGAGCAAUCGAUACAGGUCUUCAUCAUCUCACUCUUCUGAAUCAUCUGUGAGCAGGGAGGCCAAGAAGAGACUCUCAGAGAGGUGGAAGAUGACCCAUAGUCAUAGGUAUGUAGAUAUGGGAGUGGUUGGUAGGGGUAGCACACUAGGUGAAAUGCUUGCUUUGCCUGGUAAGGAAAGAAGGCCAGCUAAUGUGGAUGCCAUGAUUGUUGGACAAGGAUUUAUUCACAAUUUUGAUGGCAAUGAUGAACCGGCAGGGAGUGUUGAACCUUUGGGUAUUAGCAGUAGGGAUGGCUGGAAAGACGGAUGCAUUAGAAAUCUUUCUAGAUCAAGAUCUGUUCCUGCUUCAUGUACUACUAUUGGUAGUCCGAAAACAGGCAUGCGCUAUGAAAGUCUUUGCAAUGACCAGCAUAUAUUACCAAAAGAAUUAAUGCAGCAGGAAAGCGUCAAGGCAGUUAAGGGGAAGCCCAAUCAGCGAGAAAGUUCAUCUUCUAGAAAUUCAAGAUCUCGUAUUAAGAAAUCUCAUUUCUACAAGUUCACUUGUACAGAUCAUAGUGACACUUCACCAGAAAUUAAUGUCAGCCAUAAGCAAGUGCAGAGCAGUAUCACAGAUGAUGAUCAAUUUAAACCAUGUCAUAUGGUUUCCAAGACGUCAGCUUCAAUUGUCACAGAUAUGAGUUUCAUUCCUGAGAAUGUUUUGGAUGUAGCAAUUGAGAAUGUGGCCAUGCCUUCUAAAAAUACUGACUCAGAAUUACCAGCUUAUAUGUUGGUAAAAGGCAAUUCUUCUUCUAGUGACCCAGAGGCUUUAAUUUCACAGGAACCAUUAAAUGGGCCACCUGAUGAAAGUUCAGCUCCUGUUCAGCACUCUGUAGCAGAGCUACAAUCUCCAGCAAGCUCUAAGGAGGCUGAACAGCCCAGUCCUGUUUCAGUUCUUGAAACUCCUUUCCCGGAUGAUCUAUCUUCGAGUUCUGAAUGCUUUGAGACUCUCAGUGCUGACCUACAUGGACUUCGGAUGCAGCUUCAGCUACUCAAAUUGGAGUCGGAAGCAUAUGCAGAGGGUCCCAUACACAUCUCAAGCGAUGAAGAUGUUGAGGAAGGCUGUGUUGGAUUUUCAGAGGAGAAAGGAAUAGUUGAACAGAGCAGGGAAUUUUCCUAUGUAGUUGAUGUUCUACUAGAAUCUGGUAUUAAUGAUGCUGACCCUGACACUUUCAUGGCGUCGUGGCACUCUCCAGAAUGCCCAGUGAAUCUCCUAGUAUUUGAAGAACUGGAGAAGAAGCAUUGCAAUGUCAUUUCAUGGCCAAGGUCUGAAAGGAAGCUGCUAUUUGACCGAGUAAAUUCAGCUAUCCUUGUGAUAAGCCAACAAUUUGCGGAUCCACACCCCUGGGUGAGGUCUGCAGCUGCAGUCAUUCCCAGGUGGAUUAAACAUGGACUUGAGGAUGGCAUCAACAAAUUGCUGGCAAGCCAAGAUAAGAAAGCUAAUGACAAUGUGGCGGAGAAGGUACUGGUAUCAGACUCUAAGUGGCUGGAUUUGAGAGAUGACAUUGAUGUAGUUGGUCGGGAAAUUGAGAGAAUGAUGAUAGAAGAGUUAGUGAAAGAAAUAGUAGCAGCAUAGAGAUUAUGCACGGAAGUGCCCUUUUGGUUUAGGAAACUAUGAAUAUAAAAAAAAAUGAACAGAUAGAAUGUUCAUUUCAAUUAGGGAAGAUGAAAUAAAUUGAUAGAAUCCCUUGAACCAAAAACAAAAUUCCAGAAUGGUGAUUGAGGAAAAGUACUAAUCCAAGAAUCAGCAAAAAAAAAAAAAAAUCUUCAAUAUGGCUGGAUUUGUCUCCAGGCUAUGAUUAUGAUCUGACGCUUAACCUGUUUAACAUGCUGGUGUCUCGCAGAUGAUAAGUAUCUAUGCUAUUGGAAGAAAACUUUCGAAGAAUUUGUGGUUGAUUUUUUCCCCCUCCCUUCAGAAGGUUUUUAUUGAAAAUUUUAAGCGGGUAGAUAAUAUAAUAAUUC